CUGACCUCAGAUCAGGCGGGACUACCCGCUGAACUUAA
Molecule: ribosomal RNA, 38 nt
Filed under: Picipes badius
Lineage: Eukaryota; Fungi; Basidiomycota; Agaricomycetes; Polyporales; Polyporaceae
Description: partial 28S ribosomal RNA
Source: RNAcentral